RNAcentral lists this transfer RNA (94 nucleotides) under Pseudomonas putida. Its description in RNAcentral is "tRNA-Asn". Lineage: Bacteria; Pseudomonadati; Pseudomonadota; Gammaproteobacteria; Pseudomonadales; Pseudomonadaceae. The record is from RNAcentral.
GCCGCCGUGGGCCGCUUCGACAGCCUCGGCCAGCUGUUGCAGGGCCUGGGCGUCAUUGACAUCCAGCGGCCAGGCGCGGAACCCGGCGGCGGCG